UAUGUUGAAGGAACUCGGCAAAAUACCUCCGUAAGUUCGCGAGAAGGAGGCCCGGUUUCUAGGCAACUGGAAGCUGGGGGCACAAACCAGGGGGUGGCGACUGUUUACUAAAAACACAGGGCUCUGCGAAGUCGCAAGACGACGUAUAGGGUCUGACGCCUGCCCGGUGCCUGAAGGUUAAAAGGAGGGGUGAGAGCUCCGAAUUGAAGCCCAGGUAAACGGCGGCCGUAACUAUAACGGUCCUAAGGUAGCGAAAUUCCUUGUCGGGUAAGUUCCGACCUGCACGAAUGGCGUAACGACUUCCCCGCUGUCUCCAACAUAGACUCAGUGAAAUUGAAUUGCCUGUCAAGAUGCAGGCUUCCCGCGGUUAGACGGAAAGACCCCGUGCACCUUUACUACAACUUUACACUGAUAACAGGCACAACAUGUGCAGAAUAGGUGGUAGGCUUUGAAGCAGAAACGCCAGUUUUUGUGGAGCCUCCUUUGAGAUACCACCCUUGUUUUGCUUGUUAUCUAACUGCGGUCCGUUAUCCGGAUCCAGGACCCUGUAUGGUGGGUAGUUUGACUGGGGCGGUCGCCUCCUAAAGCGUAACGGAGGCGCGCGAAGGUUGGCUCAGAGCGGUCGGAAAUCGCUCGUUGAGUGCAAUGGCAGAAGCCAGCCUGACUGCGAGACUGACAAGUCGAGCAGAGUCGAAAGACGGCCAUAGUGAUCCGGUGGUCCCGAGUGGAAGGGCCAUCGCUCAACGGAUAAAAGGUACGCCGGGGAUAACAGGCUGAUGGUGCCCAAGAGUCCAUAUCGACGGCACCGUUUGGCACCUCGAUGUCGGCUCAUCUCAUCCUGGGGCUGGAGCAGGUCCCAAGGGUACGGCUGUUCGCCGUUUAAAGAGGUACGUGAGCUGGGUUUAGAACGUCGUGAGACAGUUCGGUCCCUAUCUGCCGUGGGUGUAGGAUACUUGAGAGGAGUUGCCCCUAGUACGAGAGGACCGGGGUGAACGAUCCACUGGUGGACCAGUUGUCGACUACGGCAGUGCUGGGUAGCUAUGAUCGGACAGGAUAACCGCUGAAAGCAUCUAAGCGGGAAGCCCCCCUCAAAACAAGGUAUCCCUGAGGACCGAGGUAGACCACCUCGUCGAUAGGCCAGAGGUGUAAGCGUGGUAACACGUUCAGCUGACUGGUACUAAUGGUCCGAUAGGCUUGAUUUG
RNAcentral lists this ribosomal RNA (1202 nucleotides) under marine metagenome. RNAcentral describes it as "bacterial LSU rRNA". It matches the Rfam family "Bacterial large subunit ribosomal RNA", at positions 1700 to 2925 of the family's 2925-position model. The record is from RNAcentral.